Molecule: ribosomal RNA, 476 nt
Filed under: Streptococcus mitis
Lineage: Bacteria; Bacillati; Bacillota; Bacilli; Lactobacillales; Streptococcaceae
Description: bacterial SSU rRNA
Rfam family: Bacterial small subunit ribosomal RNA
Source: RNAcentral
GACGAACGCUGGCGGCGUGCCUAAUACAUGCAAGUAGAACGCUGAAGGAGGAGCUUGCUCUUCUGGAUGAGUUGCGAACGGGUGAGUAACGCGUAGGUAACCUGCCUGGUAGCGGGGGAUAACUAUUGGAAACGAUAGCUAAUACCGCAUAAUAGCAGUUGUUGCAUGACAGCUGUUUGAAAGGUGCAAUUGCACCACUACCAGAUGGACCUGCGUUGUAUUAGCUAGUUGGUGGGGUAACGGCUCACCAAGGCGACGAUACAUAGCCGACCUGAGAGGGUGAUCGGCCACACUGGGACUGAGACACGGCCCAGACUCCUACGGGAGGCAGCAGUAGGGAAUCUUCGGCAAUGGACGAAAGUCUGACCGAGCAACGCCGCGUGAGUGAAGAAGGUUUUCGGAUCGUAAAGCUCUGUUGUAAGAGAAGAACGAGUGUGAGAGUGGAAAGUUCACACUGUGACGGUAUCUACCAGAAA